GUGGUAAAACCCAUCUAAGGCUAAAUACGGCACGAGACCGAUAGUUCGACAAAGUAACCGUAAGGGAAAGUUAAAAGAACUUGAAGAGAGAGUUCAAGAGGGCGUGAAACCCGUUAGAGGUAAAGCGGGUGGGGUCCGGCGCAUUCUGCCCGGAGGAUUCAACCCGGCGGGUCAGGGUCGGCCGUUCCGGUGUGGUCGGACCCCUCGUGGGACGACCCCCGGUCGGGCUCGCCCCCGCGGGCCAUUUCUCCGUCGGUGGUGCGCCGCGACCGGCUCUGGGUCGGCUUGGAAGGGCUGGGGGCGAGGUGGCUACCGGUUUCGGGAGCUUUACAGCGCCCAGGCGUGGGCUUUACAGCGCCCACUGCUCCGACCUUUACUCGCCUCUUUCCCGGGGCCGAGGACUUAGUACCCGCUGCGUCAUGCCCCCCCUCCGGGGGGGCACGGGGCCCCCUACCCCCGGCGCGACUGUCAACCGGGUCGGAUGUCCUCAGUGCGCAACCCAACCGCGUUGCGGCGCCAGGGCGGGGAUCGGCUCACGUAAACUGGCGCAAGGGGUCAGCGGCGAUGUCGGCAACCCACCCGACCCGUCUGAAACACGGACCAAGGAGUCUAACGCGCGCGCAAGUCAGAGGGUUUUGUCCGAACACACCCCGUGGAGCAAUGAAAGUGAGGGACGGCGCGCGCGGUGAGGUGGGGUCCCGGCCCCGCGGGGCCGGGCGCCUCCCCCGGCCGGCUCGGCCGGCUCUGUCGGGGAGGUGGAGCGUGAGCGGCGGGGAGGUGGAGCGUGAGCGCGUGCGAUAGGACCCGAAAGAUGGUGAACUAUGCUGGGCAGGGAGAAGCCAGAGGAAACUCUGGUGGAGGUCCGUUAGCGGUCCUGACGUGCAAAUCGGUCGUCCGACCUGGGUAUAGGGGCGAAAGACUAAUCGAACAUCAGUAGCUGGUUCCCUCCGAAGUUUCCCUCAGAGGAUAGCGCUGGCGCUCGAAGCUCGCAGUUUUAUCUGGGUAAAGCGAAUGAUUAGAGGCAUUGGGGCGCCGAAACGAUCUCAACCUAUUCUCAAACUUUAAUUGGGUAAGAAGGCCCGGCUCGCUGGCUGGACCGGGCGUGGAAUGUGCGAGCCGCCUAGUGGGCCGCUUUUGUUAAGCAGAACUGGCGCUGCGGAUGAAACCGAACGCCGGGUUAAGGCGCCCGAUGCCGACCUCAUCAGACCCCAGAAAAGGUGUGGGUCGAUAUAGACACAGGACGGUGGCCAUGGAAGUCGAAUCCGCUAAGGAGUGUGUAACAACUCACCUGCCGAAACAACUAGCCCUGAAAAUGGAUGGCGCUGAGCGUCUGAAAAUGGAUGGCGCUGAAGCGGGCGGCCGACACCAUGCCGUCUGGACAAGAAAUGUUUUCAGAUGAGUAGGAGGGCGUGGCGGCCGUGUCGAAGCGCGCUUGCAGAAGCGUGUGGAACGGCCGCUAACGUCGGGCCCAUACCCGGCCGUCGCCGGCCACGAGCGCCUCGAGGGCUACGCCGCGACGAGUAGGAGGGCCGCCGCGGUGAGCACGGAAGCCUAGGGCGUGGGCCCCCGCGGGUGGAGCCGCCGCGGGUGCAGGUCUUGGGUGGUAGUAGCCAAAUUUCAAACGAGAACUUUGAAGGCCGAAGUGGAAGAAGGGUUCCAUGUGAACAGCAGUUGAACAUGGGUCAGUCGGUCCUAAGAGAUGGGCGAACGCCAUUCGGAAGGGAGGGGCGAUUGCCUCCGUCGCCCCGGCCGACGAAAGGGAGUCGGGUUCAGAUCCCCGAAUCCGGGUGGGGAGACGGCCGCCGCGAGGCGUCCAGUGCGGUAACGCCGAGCGUCCAGUGCGGUAACGCACCGAUCCCGGAGAACUGGCGGGGGCCCGGGGAGAGUUCUUUUUCUUUGUGAAGGGCAGGGCACCCUGGAAUGGGUUGCCCCGAGAGAGGGCCCAUGCCCUGGAAGAGGUCGCGGUUCCGGCGGCGUCCGGUGAGCUCUCGCUGGCCCUUGAAAAUCCGGGGGAGAGGGUGUAAAUCUCGCGCGGGCCGUACCCAUAUCCGCAGCAGGUCUCCAAGGGUGAACAGCCUCUGGCAUGUUAGAAAAUGUAGGUAAGGGAAGUGGGCGAGUCAGAUCCGUAACUUCCGGAAUAAGGAUUGGCUCUAAGGGCGGGUCGGUCGGGCUCUAAGGGCUGGGUCGGUCGGGGCGGGGGGAAGCGGGGCUGGGCUCGAGCCGCGGCUGGGGGAGCAGUCGCUCCGCCGCCCUCCCUCACGCCACCGUUGGAAGUUCGCCGCGUGACUCGUCUCGCGGGCUCUCGUGCGUGGUCUCGCAAGGGGCUCGUGCGGUAGUUCGUUGGGGCGGUGUCCUUCGCGUCCCCUAAGACGGACCCGAGGUUGGUCCGCGGUGGCGAAGACGGACCGGCGGGGGGCGGUUGGCGGAGGCGACUUGGCGCGCGCCGGGCCCUUCUCGCGGAUCUCCCAGCGACGGCGCUCGUCGGCCCCUUCGCGCGGGGUCUCCGGCGGGUCGCCUCGGCCGGCGCCUGCAGCUGACUUAGAACUGGUGGCGGACCAGGGGAAUCCGACUGUUUAAUUAAAACAAAGCAUCGCGAAGGCCCGAGGUGGGUGUUGACGCGAUGUGAUUUCCUGCCCAGUGCUCUUGAAUGUCAAAGUGAAGAAAUUCAAUGAAGCGCGGGUAAACGGCGGGAGUAACAUGACUCUCUUAAGGUAGCCAAAUGCCUCGUCAUCUAAUAGUGACGCGCAUGAAUGGAUGAACGAGUCCCACUGUCCUACCUANNNNNNNGGGAGGCCCCGGCCCGCAGGUGAAAAUACCACUACUCUUAUCGUUUUUUCACUUACCCCCCUGUUGAGCUUGACUCUAUUCUAAUUUUGUGAAGCAAGUUGGGAGGCGUAGCAUAGGUGGGAGCGCUUGCGCGUCCGUGAAAUACCACUACUCCCAGUCUUGCUUUACUUACUGGGUUGGUGUGGAUGAGUUUUACGACUCUAUUCUAGAACCAAUGUGCGUUUGUGCAGACCACAGCCCAGCACACAUUUAGGAGGGGAGUUUGGCUGGGGCGGCACAUCUUCUACAAGACAACGAAGGUGUCCAAAGAUGAGCUCAGUGAGAACAGAAAUCUCACGUAGCGCAAAAGGGUAAAAGCUCGUUUGAUUUUGAUUUUCAGUGCGAGUCGAAAACGCGAAAGCGUGGCCUAUCGAUCCUUUCACGAUUCGAGAUUUGANNNNNNNNUUCACGACCUAAUUAGGGAACGUGAGCU
RNAcentral lists this ribosomal RNA (3259 nucleotides) under Coregonus lavaretus (common whitefish). RNAcentral describes it as "eukaryotic LSU rRNA". It matches the Rfam family "Eukaryotic large subunit ribosomal RNA", at positions 296 to 2804 of the family's 3401-position model. Lineage: Eukaryota; Metazoa; Chordata; Actinopteri; Salmoniformes; Salmonidae. The record is from RNAcentral.